Molecule: ribosomal RNA, 229 nt
Filed under: uncultured bacterium
Lineage: Bacteria
Description: partial 16S ribosomal RNA
Rfam family: Bacterial small subunit ribosomal RNA
Source: RNAcentral
AACGAACGCUGGCGGCGUGGCUAAGGCAUGCAAGUCGAACGGUACGGUGUAGCAAUAUGCCGUAUAGUGGCGGACGGGUGAGUAAUUCAUGGAUAACGUACCUCGGAUUCAGGGAUAACGGCGGGAAACCCUUUGCGAAAGUGCCGCUAAUACCUGAUGACCCCGCGGAGCCGCAUGGUUCUGCGGGACAAAGUUCCGGCGAUCCGAGAUCGGUCCAUGUCCUAUCAGC